GGAUAGCUCAGUCAGUAGAACAUGAGACUCUUAAUCUCAGGAUUGUGGGUUCAAGCCCCACACUGAGCCG
Molecule: transfer RNA, 70 nt
Filed under: Podarcis lilfordi (Lilford's wall lizard)
Lineage: Eukaryota; Metazoa; Chordata; Lepidosauria; Squamata; Lacertidae
Description: tRNA.Lys
Rfam family: tRNA
About the family: Transfer RNA (tRNA) molecules are approximately 80 nucleotides in length. Their secondary structure includes four short double-helical elements and three loops (D, anti-codon, and T loops).
Source: RNAcentral